Molecule: ribosomal RNA, 467 nt
Filed under: uncultured bacterium
Lineage: Bacteria
Description: partial 16S ribosomal RNA
Rfam family: Bacterial small subunit ribosomal RNA
Source: RNAcentral
GACGAACGCUGGCGGCGUGCUUAACACAUGCAAGUCGAACGGAAAGGCCUCUUUCGGGGGGUACUCGAGUGGCGAACGGGUGAGUAACACGUGAGUAACCUGCCCUUGACUUUGGGAUAACUUCAGGAAACUGGGGCUAAUACCGGAUAGGAGCUCCUGCUGCAUGGUGGGGGUUGGAAAGUUUCGGCGGUUGGGGAUGGACUCGCGGCUUAUCAGCUUGUUGGUGGGGUAGUGGCUUACAAAGGCUUUGACGGGGAGCCGGCCUGAGAGGGUGACCGGGCCUUAUGGGGACAGGAGACGGCCCAGACGUCGCUGGGCGGAGGACGGGGGGAAACGUGCUAGAGGGGUGGGGGCCGGGUGUGCCAAAGGCGUGCGGGGGAAGGCGGCCUGUGGGUUGUCAAUCGGUUUCUAUGUGGAAAAAGACGUGAGUGACGGUAGUGGGAAAAGAAGCACCGGCUAAUUACGAG